GCCCCGAACGGGACGGUCGUGAUGCCCGCCGCCUUGGCGGUGGCAGGCGGCACGAUGCCCGCCACGCCGUACGACUCGGUGCCCGGGGCG
This 90-nucleotide transfer RNA is filed under the name Streptomyces lavendofoliae. RNAcentral's name for it is "tRNA-Pro". Lineage: Bacteria; Bacillati; Actinomycetota; Actinomycetes; Kitasatosporales; Streptomycetaceae. The record is from RNAcentral.